UAGGGAAUCUUCCACAAUGGGCGAAAGCCUGAUGGAGCAACGUCGCGUGUGUGAUGAAGGCUUUCGGGUCGUAAAGCACUGUUGUAUGGGAAGAACAGCUAGAAUAGGAAAUGAUUUUAGUUUGACGGUACCAUACCAGAAAGGGACGGCUAAAUACGUGCCAA
Molecule: ribosomal RNA, 164 nt
Filed under: uncultured bacterium
Lineage: Bacteria
Description: partial 16S rRNA
Rfam family: Bacterial small subunit ribosomal RNA
Source: RNAcentral